RNAcentral lists this unclassified non-coding RNA (391 nucleotides) under Melitaea cinxia (Glanville fritillary). RNAcentral describes it as "misc RNA ENSMCXG00005016861.1". Lineage: Eukaryota; Metazoa; Arthropoda; Insecta; Lepidoptera; Nymphalidae. The record is from RNAcentral.
GUUUUCAAGCAGUAUUGUGUUCCUGUUGGUGAGUAAGGUGACCAGAGCUCCUGGAGGGAUUGGGGAUUGGGUCGGCAACGCGCUUGCGAUGCUUCUGGUGUUGCAGGCGUCUAUAAGCUACGGUAAUCGCUUACCAUCAGGUGAGCCGUACGCUUGUUUGCCGACCUAGUGACAUAAAAAAAAAAAAAAAAAAGGAGAAAAAAGAAAAAAAAAAAAAAAAAAAAAAAAAAAAAAAAAAAAAAAAAAAAAAAAAAAACCGUCGGCGUCGGGCCACGUCCUAGUUUUACUAGGCAGUCACAGGACUGUCGAUCUGUAGUAUAAUAAGUAGAAAAAUCGCCUGUAGUAUUAUAAUGCAUGCAUGAUAAACAAAGGCACGGGCAUUUUGAGCCCG